UACGUAGGUGGCGAGCGUUGUCCGGAUUUACUGGGCGUAAAGGGAGCGUAGGCGGACUUUUAAGUGAGAUGUGAGAUACUCGGGCUCAACUUGAGUGCUGCAUUUCAGACUGGAAGUCUAGAGUGCAGGAGAGGAGAAUGGAAUUCCUAGUGUAGCGGUGAAAUGCGUAGAGAUUAGGAAGAACACCAGUGGCGAAGGCGAUUCUCUGGACUGUAACUGACGCUGAGGCUCGAAAGCGUGGGGAGCAAACAGG
RNAcentral lists this ribosomal RNA (253 nucleotides) under uncultured bacterium. RNAcentral describes it as "partial 16S ribosomal RNA". It matches the Rfam family "Bacterial small subunit ribosomal RNA", at positions 524 to 776 of the family's 1533-position model. The record is from RNAcentral.